Molecule: long non-coding RNA, 2032 nt
Organism: Hipposideros armiger (great roundleaf bat)
Lineage: Eukaryota; Metazoa; Chordata; Mammalia; Chiroptera; Hipposideridae
Exons: 2
Source: RefSeq, a predicted model, not a curated record
ACAUGCUUCUUAAGUGACUCACGCGGUCUGUUCUGUUCUCCUUCACGAUGCCUGCCAGCCCAUGCGUGCGGCUCGGUCAGAGCGAGGGUUAGACAGGCCUGACGUGGAGCUGGGCCCUGGCCUCACUCGAGUGUGGCCACGGGCAGUGCUGCUCUACCUCUCCAAGCCUCUGUUCAUAGGGAAUAAGUCCACCUACGUUAUAGGAUUACCUUGUGAAUUUGAAUUAAGGCGAGGUGACAAACGCCCACCAAGAUCUCUGUGGAUGGACAGAUGGUUUGACUGGCGGGUUCCCUGUGCGUCGUCCUGCCUGUGUGCCCACCAGGCCGCGCUCAGCUCCGGGCAACACUCCGAGCAAGAGUCAGGUCAGUGGCCGCACUUUCUGGUUUCCUCUGACCUCAAGUCUAUUUCUUUUCCAUGUGCAGCAGCUGUCUGCAGUGGAAAACUCCACUGAGGGACAGGCCUCCUCUUAAUGCUCGAAUCAGGCAGAAUCCCGCAGGGAGGGUCGGUCGCCGAGUUCCUGCGUUACACCGGGCAAAUCGUGCCGAAUCUCAGAGCUUCAGUGUCCGUGUUUCCAUCGGCUUGGAACAGAAAUUGUAGAUGGAUUUUGGCUCACGUUCUAACACCAACUGGUGGAUACGGACGGGUUGCUUACGGGGUAGUGUUGAGAUGGAUGCUGAGGCUGUGGUUUGCUCACUAGGAAAGGGUGCUGGGAUUGACUGGCAAUGUCUGCCAUGAACUGAACGAUGGGAAAGAAUGGAAUGUUUGGCAUCACAUAUUUGCCAUCCCAACCCAGGUGCUCUAUCAGCUUCCUCAAAGCUUGAAAUGGCUCAGAGUCUUAAGCUCUCGUUAGAUCAAACAAAACUUAAGAUCUCUAUUUUGAUUUGACCUUUCUUCUAAUGGUGCCCCAGGUUUCUCAUGGUCAGUGAUUCCUUACCACUUUUCAGUGCAAAACCAUUGAGGCCCAUCCAGACCAGCACAUCUCUGAGCCACCGUGACUGGCUCCGACAAGGAAAUCUCCCCCAGGCCAGGUCCCUGAAAACCAGCCCGAAAAUCCCCCACCCCCAGCCACCCCACUCAAUCCAGCCAUCACUGAAGCUAAACCUAACCCUAGACCUUUAAAUUCUGUGAGUCAAUACAUUGUGUUUUUUUGCAUAAGCCUGUAUGAAUUGCGGUUUCAUUACUUGUAACUCAAGGAAUCUUAAUAUGCACAGACUCUUUCUUUUUCCCAGUCGGACCCAGAACGGGCACCAAAGAAGGUUUGGCUAAUACGACAGUGAGAACAUCUGGCGCUUUGUUUUUGUUUUUCUUCUAUCCAGCCAAGACAAGAGGCCUAGAAUGCAGAAAAAGGACACCAAUUUCUUCAAAUAUAGAAGCCAGGGAGACUGCUCCCACGGGGUCUCCGUGAUGGGACAGCCUCUGCUUUGGAUGAAUAGAGACCAAGUGGGGUCACAUUGUUUGGAAUAUCCUUCUGUUCCCCCCAAGACAAACUUUUCAUGCUUUUACCUUAGCUUCCUAGGGUACUGCAUCUAGCUUGGUUAAAGUUUGUUUAAAAACAUUGGCAUAACGCAUACAUACCCUUGGGAGGGAACGAUUAACCAUCAACUAGCAAAGUUAACGUCCCUGCACACCCGUCUCCUCCAGUGAAAUGGACCAGAACCUCCACCCCAUCCCCAGAGGAAACUUCCCUGCCUUGUCCUAGAACAUUUCAAAACUGGGUUUCCGCUUUAAGUUCUUAACAUAUUCUCACCCAAGCUCAGCUUACUGGCCUGGCUCCUUCACAGUGAGGGGAGGGCAAGGUCCAUGAUAUGGGACUAACCGUGAUACUGGGUGCUUCUGGAGACUGACUUCUGAAGUUUUUUAAGGCAAAUUCUCCUAUGGCCCUCUCCCGCCACCCCCCCCCCCCCCAUCCAGAAACCUGAAAGGCACAGCAGCAGUGGGAGGAUAGUGAAGGCUGUGGAGUCAUAUGGACCUGGGGACAAAUCCUAGCCUGUCUCAUUCUUGCUGUGUCAUCAUGAACAAGUUGUUUAACCUC